This 66-nucleotide microRNA precursor is filed under the name Aedes aegypti (yellow fever mosquito). RNAcentral's name for it is "Aae-Mir-989_pre stem-loop". Lineage: Eukaryota; Metazoa; Arthropoda; Insecta; Diptera; Culicidae. The record is from RNAcentral.
CGCCGCUACCUCGCUUUCACUUGGUACCGAUUUCCCAUAAUCCAUGUGAUGUGACGUAGUGGUACC